RNAcentral lists this ribosomal RNA (158 nucleotides) under uncultured bacterium. Its description in RNAcentral is "partial 16S ribosomal RNA". It matches the Rfam family "Bacterial small subunit ribosomal RNA", at positions 355 to 505 of the family's 1533-position model. The record is from RNAcentral.
UGGGGAAUUUUGGACAAUGGGCGAAAGCCUGAUCCAGCAAUGCCGCGUGCAGGAUGAAGGCCCUCGGGUUGUAAACUGCUUUUGUACGGAACGAAAAGCCUGGGGCUAAUAUCCCCGGGUCAUGACGGUACCGUAAGAAUAAGCACCGGCUAACUACG